This 351-nucleotide ribosomal RNA is filed under the name Triticum aestivum (bread wheat). Its description in RNAcentral is "partial small subunit ribosomal RNA". Lineage: Eukaryota; Viridiplantae; Streptophyta; Magnoliopsida; Poales; Poaceae. The record is from RNAcentral.
AUGGACGGAAUGAUUGUGGAAUUUAACCCUUCGUCGUCAUACCCAAACUCGGUCAAUGGGCCGGCUUUUAGCGUAGAAAGUGUGAGUUCGAACUACAUGGAGGUGGAGGAAUCAAUAAAUUCCCCUCCUCCCCCUAAUCCAAACCCUUAUUCUCAGAUUCCGGAUUUAGUCGCCGCAAAUGCAAAUAUGGAUUACUUUCACUUCUCUCAAAUGCAGAUGUUUUACCAAAUGCAAAUGUUUUAUCAAAUGCAUUUGAAUUAUUUUAGCAGCCAGCCGCUUUUGCCUAUGGUACCUAUGUAUGUUCAUUUUUUUAUGUCUUUUUAUAUGCGGUUUUGGUAUUUUCCCUUCUAA